Bos taurus (domestic cattle) is the source of this 1207-nucleotide long non-coding RNA. The record is from Ensembl. Lineage: Eukaryota; Metazoa; Chordata; Mammalia; Artiodactyla; Bovidae.
GUUUGAUGGAAACAUGGAGAUGCCUCUCAAAUGAUGUGGGCUUCCCUGAUGGCUCAGACGGUGACGAAUCUACAUGCAAUGUAGGAGACUUGGGUUUGAUCCCUGGGUCAGGAAAAUCCCCUCGAGAAAGAAAUGGCAACGCACUCCAGUAUUCUUGCCUGGAGAAUCCCACGGACAGAGGAGCCUGGUGGGCUACACAUAUGGACUUGCAAAGAAUUGGACAUGGACUUUCACCUUCACUCUUCUCACGUGCCAUCCCUGGGGCUAGCAGGAGAAUCCAUUCCCCCAGACCACUUAGGUCAGCAAAAGAGAGUGGGGAUUAUUGGGGAGGGUUGAAAGAUGGAAUUAUGCUGGAAAGACAAGCAACAGACGCCUCCCCUGGUGUCAGAACCAGCACUGGAACCCUGGCGAGGCCCAGUCCUCUGUUCUUUCCAGUCCACCUGCCUCCAAAGUGGACUAGCUCCGGGAGGAGUCCUCAUUCAGGUCCCCACCUCCAGGGAAGACUGUACCUAAACAUUCCAGACAAAUGAACCCCAUCCACAUUCUUCCAGGAAGGAGGUAAUUACCUCAGCUCUCCUGCCUGGUGUCCCUGGGGAAACUUCAGCCACAUGCCAGAGUCACGCUGGGUCAUUCAUGUAUGAACCUGUGUCCUGGACAAACAUAAAAAACUCUCAAUCACACUUGGGCUUGUAGGCUUGCACAGUGUCUAUUUGCUGACCUCAGAGGGACUCCCUAAAAGACGAGUGUGAUGAUGAAAUUAAUAAUAAAGGGGCCAGUGUGUCUCUGCCUUUGUCCCUGAGGUUCAACACUUCAGGGCAUUUGGCAUGGGACUCAUUUACUGGAAAACAGAUUAAUGUCAGGAUUCAGCCAGCAGACAGGGUCUGUGCUUAAGCAGGCUGAAUGCAACCCAGGCUGUAUGACCUUGGGUAACUCAUAUAACCUCUCCAUGUCUCUUGCCAUCUCAAAAGCAAUUGGAAUGCUAAGGACGCCUCAAAAGCUGGUUUUGACAAUUAAAAUGUAUGAAGUGUUUGAAAUGGACCCUGAUGCAUGCCAAGCACUCUAUAAUAAGUUAUGAUUAUUUAAUUCAUAAGGUAUUGAUGACACAUCUCCUAUGGGUCCAGACACUCUGCUAGGUGAAAGAAAUUCGGAGAUCCAUGAGGAUCUGGAAAACUAUAAUCAUAGUAUUCAGUCUAGGGGAAGAUAAGAC